ACGUGACGCGUGUUAACCCAGAUUUUAGCAUAUGCCUUGAAGUUGCACCGUUGUCGGUUAACGGUUUCUUCUUUCGUAAAUCUUCUUGUCUUUUUAACAUAUUUGAAUGCCAUGAAGCAUUCACAUUUGAUGGGUUAGUAACAAGUCUUUUGGUCGUUGGUUUUUCUGAUUUUUCCUCAAAUGGCUUAUUUGAGUGCAUGCUUUUACUUGAUGGUAUAGCAUCUGGUUCAGAACGAGGUUUAUCGGAAAUAGUAUGUUCCAUAUCCCUAAUGUUAGAUGAAUUGGCUGAUGUGACAGUUUUGGUCUGACGACUUGGAAAUUCGUUGUUUGAUAACUCUCGUUCUUUACCAUAGAACUUUUUGAAGCGAUGAGUUUCGUUUUCAGAAGAGCGGCUUUCCAUAUUUGAAGCAUUUGCUGCUCCAUUUUUUGCUUUUCGCUUUUCAGUUUGCUCAAGUUCGCGUUGAGAGGCUGUGGCCACACGAAUUGCAAUCGGACGUGAAUGCGGAGCAAAGUUGUGAUCAGAAUUUUGACGAGAAUCAUCAUGCAAUGGUUCAGAUAACUUGUGCAGAGAUUUUUCAAUAAAUUCCUUCUUGGAAGGCGGCAAAGAAGAGUCCGUAUUUUCGUUUGCAUCCGAUUUCAAAGCGUUUGAGCUUGGUCUAGAAUUUGAAGAAUUAAAAUCAUUUGACGACUUUCUGGUUGAAAGCCUUGUGAAUGUGCUUAUCAGGGGGAUCUUAGGCGCUUGAGUGAUUACAGCAUGACUUUUUGCAGGGCUUAAGGAAGACUCGUCGUUUUUAUUAUUCAGCUUCAUUUUAGCAAGGUGCAAAUCCUUAGCUGCAGAGUUUUUAGCAGCAUCUAAAACUGCAUUAAUCGGUUUCUUCGUGGGCGGAGUCGAAGGAAUUAAUCUUUUAUUAGAACUUACUUCUUGUAUUUUCUGCCUUAAUCGUUCGGCACGAUCAUAAGUUUUCAGUUCAUAGUGGUUUUCAUUGGAGGCAGUUAGCUCGUUCAAUUUAGCAAUAGAAUCGGGAAUUUUGGCUUCAAAAAAGUCAAACUCUUGACUUUUGGCAUCACUUCCAGGUUGAGAAGAUACAGGUAGUCUCUCUUCAUUGGAUUUUAAUUUGGCCGUUAAUGCCUCAGCUUCUACUGCGUUGGAUUUAUCGAAGGAAGUAAUUUCGGGAGGGGAUUCAAAAAUAGUUGGAUGAGGUUUAAGCAUUUCAUUUUCGACAGACCUUUUUCUUUCCUUGGAAGAAGAAGUAACAGUUUCAGAAGAGAAGGCGACUCCUGAACUUCUUUUACGAGUUUUGUAAGAAGUCGAUAACCUAGUAGACGACGUGAGCGAUUCCUUGGCUGAUAAAUCUGUCUUGGCGGGGAUGACUGAUGAAAGGAAUUUUCGAAAUUUAGAAGGACUAGAGGACACAUUGGUAUUUAACAAAGAAGAAGGAGCAUCAGAAGUAGUUGAAGGUAGUGCCUUGAU
Molecule: non-coding RNA, 1471 nt
Organism: Schizosaccharomyces pombe (fission yeast)
Lineage: Eukaryota; Fungi; Ascomycota; Schizosaccharomycetes; Schizosaccharomycetales; Schizosaccharomycetaceae
Source: the annotation of a GenBank genome assembly